AUGGUACUCCCUCCGUUCCAAAUUACUUGUCGCAGAUAUGGAUGUAUCUAGAUGUAUUUUAGUUCUAGAUACAUCCAUUUCUGCGACGAGUAAUUUGGAACGGAGGGAGUAGUUG
Non-coding RNA from Triticum aestivum (bread wheat), 115 nucleotides. NCBI's taxonomy places the organism in Eukaryota, Viridiplantae, Streptophyta, Magnoliopsida, Poales, Poaceae. The record is from Rfam.